RNAcentral lists this ribosomal RNA (320 nucleotides) under uncultured bacterium. Its description in RNAcentral is "bacterial SSU rRNA". It matches the Rfam family "Bacterial small subunit ribosomal RNA", at positions 1063 to 1383 of the family's 1533-position model. The record is from RNAcentral.
UGUCGUGAGAUGUUGGGUUAAGUCCCGCAACGAGCGCAACCCUUGACCUGUGUUACCAGCACGUAGAGGUGGGGACUCACAGGUGACUGCCGGCGUAAGUCGGAGGAAGGCGGGGAUGACGUCAAAUCAUCAUGCCCUUUAUGUCCUGGGCUACACACGUGCUACAAUGGGCGGUACAACGGGAAGCGAAGCCGCGAGGUGGAGCGAAACCCAGAAAGCCGUUCGUAGUUCGGAUUGCAGGCUGCAACUCGCCUGCAUGAAGCCGGAAUUGCUAGUAAUCGCGGAUCAGCAUGCCGCGGUGAAUCCGUUCCCGGGCCUUG